GGAGUAAAAGUCGUAACAAGGUUUCCGUAGGUGAACCUGCGGAAGGAUCAUUAUUGUAUAACCGAGGUGCGAGGGCUGUCGCUGACCCGAAAGGUCGUGCACGCCCGAGUGCCUCACACACAUCCAUCUCACCCCUAUGUGCACCACCGCGUGGGUCCCCCUUUGGCUUGUUCGGAGGGGGGCUUACGUUUUCACACAAACUUUGUAUGCAGUGUAGAAUGUAUUUUUUGUUUUUGCGAUCACGCAAUCAAUACAACUUUCAACAACGGAUCUCUUGGCUCUC
This 283-nucleotide unclassified non-coding RNA is filed under the name plant metagenome. RNAcentral describes it as "partial contains small subunit ribosomal RNA, internal transcribed spacer 1, and 5.8S ribosomal RNA". The stretch from base 1 to 53 matches the Rfam family "Eukaryotic small subunit ribosomal RNA", at positions 1779 to 1831 of the family's 1831-position model. The record is from RNAcentral.